CCUAAGGGGGACCCAGGUGCUCAGCAAGGAUGUUCAGAGGAAGUGGGACCAGCCUGUCCCAAUAGUCCCGGAUUGCAUUUUAGAGACCUGCUAGGAGCACUUUUGGAAACUGAACUGUGUGUGAAACCGAAGAGCCGAGAACCACUGCUCUGAGGAAAGAGGGAUCAGCAGGCAUAACACCAAGCCACAGGAGUCGUGGAUGUGUCUGAUGGAAAAUGCGUGUCACUUCCAUGAGGUCUGCCCAUACCAUCCCUGCCAGGGCCAAAGAGAACCCCCAAGAGACCACGUGACGCCAGGACCGAGGGAUUCCCGGAUGGAAAACAGCUGGGAUCAUUCUCAAGGCCCCCCUCAUAAAUAUGCAAACACA
This 367-nucleotide long non-coding RNA is filed under the name Rattus norvegicus (Norway rat). RNAcentral describes it as "long non-coding RNA NONRATT022559". The record is from RNAcentral. Lineage: Eukaryota; Metazoa; Chordata; Mammalia; Rodentia; Muridae.